GUCUGGUUGGACGAGUGGUUAAGUCGCUCCUCUCACAAAUCACCCUACUUCCUAUUCAGAAAGUGGUGGUUUAUGAGGUACAGGAGAAAUCAGAAGUUCGAUCCUUCUACUAGACA
Stipitochalara longipes BDJ is the source of this 116-nucleotide non-coding RNA. Lineage: Eukaryota; Fungi; Ascomycota; Leotiomycetes; Helotiales; Hamatocanthoscyphaceae. The record is from the annotation of a GenBank genome assembly.